Molecule: long non-coding RNA, 3996 nt
Organism: Triticum aestivum (bread wheat)
Lineage: Eukaryota; Viridiplantae; Streptophyta; Magnoliopsida; Poales; Poaceae
Exons: 4
Source: RefSeq, a predicted model, not a curated record
UUGAUGUAAAUUAUAAUUGAAAAUGUUUAAUCUCAGUUGCCUAACAGGCCUUUGCACUUCUAUCAGAACCAUCACAUGUUUACUUCUAUCUGAAGUAGCACAUAUUUUUUCGCCACGUAAUUGUCAGCCCUACUAGAUAAUUGCUUAGGCAUUUCAUCUUCAAUUCACUAUAAUACACAAUCUGUCUUAUCGAGGUAAGUUAUUAUGUUUAUCUCUCGUGUGAUGUUUUUCUAUGUAGUAUCUCCAAUCACCAACAGUUUGUCGGGGCUGAGCUCCUUUUCAGAUGAAACGGUAAUUGAUUUGGAACUACAAUGUUUAGUUUACUUCAUUGGAUAAUUUUGGUGCUCGUUGUCGAAGCGAAUGAAACUUAUUCCUUAGUCGAUUGUCUUGUGUGAGGCGAUUAAUUGUUGCUAUCUAUGCUACCUGGCAGCAAGCUCUUUAUGAUAACUUAUCUUUCAGACUUACUUGAUGCUACUUGCAGCCUGGAGUGAAAAAAAUAUGAUGAAGAUCUUGGUGUCUUCUGCUUCAUGAUCUCCUCCUGCACAAGAUGGUUACUUUCAUUGUUGCUUGGACGAGGCUUCUUGAUUAUAUCUCUUCCAACCAUUUUUCUGACAUGACAUGACACUUUCACUAGCACCAACAUCACCAAGCGGCCACCAUUCAGGCGGAUCUUCAGAUUCCUGGAGAACGACCUCUGGGAGGACGUCCAUCGACAACCCUAGGGAAGUGACGGUCAGCAUUGGGCAGUGACAACACAAUGAUGUCCAUGAGAUAUCGAAGACAACGGUCUUGUCGACUAGCGGUGCACGGUGUCAUGUGCACGCUCCUGAUCAUCGUCGUCUUCUCCCUUAUCGCUGAGCCUUGCCGCUGUGAACAACCACCGCCUCCCGCACCUGCCACUUCAGGUACAUACCCCUCCCACUCCCUCAGUGCUUAUAUCUUGGUCGCAUAUUUUGUAUCAUUUGGGAGGAAGGGGUGGUGCGUGGGCGUGGACUAUUUAAAUAUCAAUUUAAUUGCAAUAUGUUUAGAUUUCAGGAAUUAAUUGUUUUGAGAUUCGAUAUAUAAAUGAACAUUGUAUCCAUGAUUAAUUAGUAAUCGUUCCAGUGUCGAGGUUCAUAUUUUUUACAGCUUGCAUUUUUGUACUUUCUUCAGAAAACAAAGCAGACAUCAGGUCAGCUUGUGUUUACAUUUGAUGAAAUGUAGUUUGUUGUUAAAUCAAAUGUAUCUUAUAGCUAAGUCAAAUGCUAAGUUUUAAUGGUACAGAAGUUCUUGACCCCAAGAAAACAAUAUGUUUUUUUCUCUACGGAAGGCACUUUUGACUGAUUCAUGGGUGAUUGAAAUUGCCUCUAUUCUUGUGAAGCCCAAUGAUGAGUUCAAGCUUUUAAACAUGGUAGUAGUUUACUUUGUGGCUAAUUUAUGCUUGCUAUAACUAUGUUUGCAUGGCCAUCUGUAAAUUACGAAUUCUGAUGUACCCCCUAUGUCUGAUAAUCUAAGAUCAUUUUGCAAGCUAAAACAGCUUACAAAACGAUCUUAUAUUAUGGAACGGAGGGAGUAGCAUUUAUGUGCCUAAUUUACUUGUUCCAGAUGAACAUAUUGUGUACAUAAAUUGUGAUGUCAUAUAUCAUUUGUGAGUAUGCAGAUUAUAUCUCUUCCAACCAUUUUUCUGACAUGGUAUGGCCUCCCUGCCUCCUUUCCUUAUGACAGCAUGUUAUUUCCCUAUAUGUAUGUCAUAUGCCAUACUCAUGUUUGGCCUUUAAGUACCAGCAAAUUGCUAAUGUAUUGAUUGUUAUUUUUCUUGAUUAUACUGGUCCUGGCUACCCAUUUUUUACCUAAUAAAACAUGUGCCAUUGCCUUAAAAUAUGGAACCCUCACAGAAAUUAAAGGAAGAUGGACUGGUCUGGUCGCAACUGUACACCUUCAACUCUCCCAUGCAUUAUAUUUUCUCUGAAGUUGAUAUUCUUGGAGAGUCAUCAUGUAUCUAUGCUGGAUCAUAUAUGUGGUUUAACUCAGACUUGUGCAUGUACAUGCUCUGGAAUGGGUCUACACCAAAAAAUAUGGCCAUGGUUCAGCUACUGUAUGCGCCUCAUUGCCAAAGACAUUCCAGUUGAGUCUGAGUUUGUAUUUGUUGACAAGUUAUGACAUUAGACAUGACACUUUCACUAGCACCAACAUCACCAAGCGGCCACCAUUCAGGCGGAUCUUCAGAUUCCUGGAGAACGACCUCUGGGAGGAGGUCCAUCGACAACCUUAGGGAAGUGACAGUCAGCAUUGGGCAGUGACAACACAGUGAUGUCCAUGAUAUAUCGAAGACAACGGUCUUGUCGACUAGCGGUGCACGGUGUCAUGUGCACGCUCCUGAUCAUCGCCGUCUUCUCCCUUAUCGCUGAUCCUUGCCGCUGUGAACAACCACCGCCUCCCGCACCUGCCACUUCAGGUACAUACCCCUCCCACUCCCUCAGUGCUUAUAUCUUGGUCGCAUAUUUUGUAUCAUUUGGGAGGAAGGGGUGGUGCGUGGGCGUGGACUAUCUAAAUAUCAAUUUAAUUGCAAUAUGUUUAGAUUUCAGGAAUUAAUUGUUUUGAGAUUCGAUAUAUAAAUGAACAUUGUAUCCAUGAUUAAUUAGUAAUCGUUCCAGUGUCGAGGUUCAUAUUUUUUACAGCUUGCAUUUUUGUACUUUCUUCAGAAAACAAAGCAGACAUCAGGUCAGCUUGUGUUUACAUUUGAUGAAAUGUAGUUUGUUGUUAAAUCAAAUGUAUCUUAUAGCUAAGUCAAAUGCUAAGUUUUAAUGGUACAGAAGUUCUUGACCCCAAGAAAACAAUAUGUUUUUUUCUCUACGGAAGGCACUUUUGACUGAUUCAUGGGUGAUUGAAAUUGCCUCUAUUCUUGUGAAGCCCAAUGAUGAGUUCAAGCUUUUAAACAUGGUAGUAGUUUACUUUGUGGCUAAUUUAUGCUUGCUAUAACUAUGUUUGCAUGGCCAUCUGUAAAUUACGAAUUCUGAUGUACCCCCUAUGUCUGAUAAUCUAAGAUCAUUUUGCAAGCUAAAACAGCUUACAAAACGAUCUUAUAUUAUGGAACGGAGGGAGUAGCAUUUAUGUGCCUAAUUUACUUGUUCCAGAUGAACAUAUUGUGUACAUAAAUUGUGAUGUCAUAUAUCAUUUGUGAGUAUGCAGAUUAUAUCUCUUCCAACCAUUUUUCUGACAUGGUAUGGCCUCCCUGCCUCCUUUCCUUAUGACAGCAUGUUAUUUCCCUAUAUGUAUGUCAUAUGCCAUACUCAUGUUUGGCCUUUAAGUACCAGCAAAUUGCUAAUGUAUUGAUUGUUAUUUUUCUUGAUUAUACUGGUCCUGGCUACCCAUUUUUUACCUAAUAAAACAUGUGCCAUUGCCUUAAAAUAUGGAACCCUCACAGAAAUUAAAGGAAGAUGGACUGGUGUGGUCUCAACUGUACACCUUCAACUCUCCCAUGCUUUAUAUUUUCUCUGAAGUUGAUAUUCUUGGAGAGUCAACAUGUAUCUAUGCUGGAUCAUAUACGUGGUUUAGCUCAGACUUGUGCAUGUACAUGCUCUGGAAUGGGUCUACUCCAAAAAAUAUGGCCAUGGUUCAGCUACUGUAUGCGCCUCAUUCCCAAAGACAUUCCAGUUGAGUCUGAGUUUGUAUUUGUUGACAAGUUAUGACAUUAGACAUGACACUUUCACUAGCACCAACAUCACCAAGUGGCCACCAUUCAGGCGGAUCUUCAGAUUCCGGGAGAACGACCUCUGGGAGGACGUCCAUCGACAACCUUAGGGAAGUGACAGUCAGCAUUGGACAGUGACAACACAGUGAUCUCCAUGAGAUAUCGAAGACAACGGUCUUGUCGACUAGCGGUGCACGGUGUCAUGUGCACGCUCCUGAUCAUCGUCGUCUUCUCCCUUAUCGCCGAGCCUUGCCGCUAUGAACAACCACCGCCUCCCGCACCUUCCACUUCAGGUACGUACCCCUCCCACUCCCUCAGUGCUUAUA